Molecule: long non-coding RNA, 354 nt
Filed under: Salvia miltiorrhiza (redroot sage)
Lineage: Eukaryota; Viridiplantae; Streptophyta; Magnoliopsida; Lamiales; Lamiaceae
Description: long non-coding RNA (SMIL_LNC011444)
Source: RNAcentral
UGCAGCUGUUCUUCCUGAAAAUCCCUUCGCUCGUGCUAUGCAACGGAGACAUAAGUUUGCCUUUAAGAUUACAGCGUCCCUGCAUGCACAACACUAAGCAAACGGAUUAAACGCACCGGCGGGAGGAAAAGAAAAGUAAAAAAAACAAAAACGUAAAGAAAAUAAAGCAAGAAAAAAAAGUGACACAACUAAACGCCUAAAACCUUCCCCGGCAACGGCGCCAAAAUUUGACUCAACCUAAACACCUCUAGAUUGACUUGCAAUAGGAUAAGGACACUCUAGCAGUGGUAAGCUAACCCAAUGUCAUCUCUCAAGGAAGAUCUUAAAGGGCAAUUAAUUAUAUAACACGAAAAC